Molecule: ribosomal RNA, 254 nt
Filed under: uncultured bacterium
Lineage: Bacteria
Description: partial 16S ribosomal RNA
Rfam family: Bacterial small subunit ribosomal RNA
Source: RNAcentral
UACGUAGGGUGCGAGCGUUGUCCGGAAUUACUGGGCGUAAAGCGCGUGUAGGCUGCUCCGAAAGUCGGAUGUGAAAGCCCUGGGCUCAACCUAGGAAGUGCAUUCGAAACUUCGGAGCUGGAGCCUGGAGAGGAAGGCGGAAUUCUCGGUGUAGAGGUGAAAUUCGUAGAUAUCGAGAGGAACACCGGUGGCGAAGGCGGCCUUCUGGACAGUGACUGACGCUGAGACGGCGAAAGCGUGGGGAGCAAACAGGG